AACGAACGCUGGCGGCGUGCCUAACACAUGCAAGUCGUGCGAGAAAGUUCCUUCGGGAGCGAGUAAAGCGGCGCACGGGUGAGUAACACGUAGGUAACCUGCCCCCCAGUCUGGAACAACUAGAGGAAACUCUAGCUAAUGCCGGAUGAGACCACGAUCCCCUUCGGGGGUUGCGGCCAAAGAUGGCCUCUACUUGUAAGCUAUCGCUGAGGGAUGGGCCUGCGGGCCAUUAGCUUGUUGGUGAGGUAACGGCUCACCAAGGCUGUGAUGGCUAGCUGGUCUGAGAGGAUGACCAGCCACACUGGGACUGAGACACGGCCCAGACUCCUACGGAGGCAGCAGUGGGAAUAUUGCGCAAUGGGCGAAAGCCUGACGCAGCGACGCCGCGUGGGGGAUGACGGCC
RNAcentral lists this ribosomal RNA (403 nucleotides) under uncultured bacterium. Its description in RNAcentral is "bacterial SSU rRNA". It matches the Rfam family "Bacterial small subunit ribosomal RNA", at positions 29 to 416 of the family's 1533-position model. The record is from RNAcentral.